RNAcentral lists this long non-coding RNA (529 nucleotides) under Apteryx rowi (Okarito brown kiwi). RNAcentral's name for it is "lncRNA (ENSARWG00000007684.1)". The record is from RNAcentral. Lineage: Eukaryota; Metazoa; Chordata; Aves; Apterygiformes; Apterygidae.
CAUGUUCCAGCCGUUCUCCUGUCCGAAGGGUCUUCCAGAUCAAAUUUGCUCCGUUUGCAAACCGGAAGAUGAUUUUCCUAAUGGCUGUAACUACAUUGCUCAUAUUCUGGCUGCACAGACUUGCUCCUGUAUAGCUGCAGUGCAUCUGGGAGGAGAUUAAGGUGUUGAGGUCCAAAAGAAGUUAAAGAAUUAGUCUAUGUGGGAACAGAACCCAAAUCUCCUGAUGCCCACCUGGAGCUUUAGUCACAAGACCAGAACAUCUGACAUCUCAAGGUCAAGCAGGCAGGCCCUUUUAGAGUUUGAUACCGUGACACAGCACUGGAGAAGCUCUUUAUCAGUGUCAAAUUAUGACAAACGACAUUGGGGGAAAGUCACAGGGCUGCAGAACAUUGUCGCAGCUGCAACACCUUGGAAAUUAUACAGCAUUCUGCCGUAUCUCACAGAGGAAUAUCUGUAGCUGUCAACUGGCACAUUCUUCUGUUGCUAGACUGCUGUGCUGUGUCUUCUAAUAAAGUUGCCCUCUGUUCCA